This 460-nucleotide ribosomal RNA is filed under the name uncultured bacterium. RNAcentral's name for it is "partial 16S ribosomal RNA". It matches the Rfam family "Bacterial small subunit ribosomal RNA", at positions 338 to 795 of the family's 1533-position model. The record is from RNAcentral.
CCUACGGGAGGCAGCAGGGAGGAAUAUUGGUCAAUGGACGAGAGUCUGAACCAGCCAAGUAGCGUGAAGGAUGACUGCCCUAUGGGUUGUAAACUUCUUUUAUAUGGGAAUAAAAUGUUCCACGUGUGGGAUUUUGUAUGUACCAUAUGAAUAAGGAUCGGCUAACUCCGUGCCAGCAGCCGCGGUAAUACGGAGGAUCCGAGCGUUAUCCGGAUUUAUUGGGUUUAAAGGGAGCGUAGGUGGAUUGUUAAGUCAGUUGUGAAAGUUUGCGGCUCAACCGUAAAAUUGCAGUUGAAACUGGCAGUCUUGAGUACAGUAGAGGUGGGCGGAAUUCGUGGUGUAGCGGUGAAAUGCUUAGAUAUCACGAAGAACUCCGAUUGCGAAGGCAGUUCACUGGACUGCAACUGACACUGAGGCUCGAAAGUGUGGGUAUCAAACAGGAUUAGAUACCCGAGUAGUC